Molecule: microRNA precursor, 103 nt
Filed under: Myotis davidii
Lineage: Eukaryota; Metazoa; Chordata; Mammalia; Chiroptera; Vespertilionidae
Description: mir-9193 microRNA precursor family
Rfam family: mir-9193 microRNA precursor family
Source: Rfam by way of RNAcentral
CAUGCAUCGGUGGGGGUCCCUCGGCUUGGCCUGCACCCUCUCACAAUUAAGGACCCCUUGAGAGAUGUCUGCAGGCCAGGCCGAGGGACCCCACCGGUGCACG